GGGCGGAUGGUUUAGUGGUAUAAUACUCCCUUAGCAUAGCGCCUGGGAGUGGUCCGGGGUUCGAUUCCCCGUCUGUCCA
Non-coding RNA from Claviceps pazoutovae, 79 nucleotides. Lineage: Eukaryota; Fungi; Ascomycota; Sordariomycetes; Hypocreales; Clavicipitaceae. The record is from the annotation of a GenBank genome assembly.